GCCCGGCUAGCUCAGUCGGUAGAUCAUGAGACUCUAAAACUCAGGGUCGUGGGUUCGAGCCCCACGUCGGGCG
This is a non-coding RNA of Schistosoma mansoni, 73 nucleotides long. The record is from Rfam. Lineage: Eukaryota; Metazoa; Platyhelminthes; Trematoda; Strigeidida; Schistosomatidae.